GAUUAAGAGCUUGCUCUUAUGAAGUUAGCGGCGGACGGGUGAGUAACACGUGGGUAACCUGCCCAUAAGACUGGGAUAACUCCGGGAAACCGGGGCUAAUACCGGAUAACAUUUUGAACCGCAUGGUUCGAAAUUGAAAGGCGGCUUCGGCUGUCACUUAUGGAUGGACCCGCGUCGCAUUAGCUAGUUGGUGAGGUAACGGCUCACCAAGGCAACGAUGCGUAGCCGACCUGAGAGGGUGAUCGGCCACACUGGGACUGAGACACGGCCCAGACUCCUACGGGAGGCAGCAGUAGGGAAUCUUCCGCAAUGGACGAAAGUCUGACGGAGCAACGCCGCGUGAGUGAUGAAGGCUUUCGGGUCGUAAAACUCUGUUGUUAGGGAAGAACAAGUGCUAGUUGAAUAAGCUGGCACCUUGACGGUACCUAACCAGAAAGCCACGGCUAACUACGUGCCAGCAGCCGCGGUAAUACGUAGGUGGCAAGCGUUAUCCGGAAUUAUUGGGCGUAAAGCGCGCGCAGGUGGUUUCUUAAGUCUGAUGUGAAAGCCCACGGCUCAACCGUGGAGGGUCAUUGGAAACUGGGAGACUUGAGUGCAGAAGAGGAAAGUGGAAUUCCAUGUGUAGCGGUGAAAUGCGUAGAGAUAUGGAGGAACACCAGUGGCGAAGGCGACUUUCUGGUCUGUAACUGACACUGAGGCGCGAAAGCGGGGGGAGCAAACAGGAUUAGAUACCCUGGUAGUCCACGCCGUAAACGAUGAGUGCUAAGUGUUAGAGGGUUUCCGCCCUUUAGUGCUGAAGUUAACGCAUUAAGCACUCCGCCUGGGGGAGUACGGGCCGCAAGGCUGAAACUCA
RNAcentral lists this ribosomal RNA (853 nucleotides) under Bacillus sp. (in: firmicutes). Its description in RNAcentral is "bacterial SSU rRNA". It matches the Rfam family "Bacterial small subunit ribosomal RNA", at positions 70 to 903 of the family's 1533-position model. Lineage: Bacteria; Bacillati; Bacillota; Bacilli; Caryophanales; Bacillaceae. The record is from RNAcentral.